RNAcentral lists this long non-coding RNA (1291 nucleotides) under Marmota monax (woodchuck). The record is from RNAcentral. Lineage: Eukaryota; Metazoa; Chordata; Mammalia; Rodentia; Sciuridae.
GUUCAGGUCAUCCCCUGUCCACUGGCAUUGAAAAACCACUGCUCCAGUGUGCUUCAGGGACACGACCACCUCAAGGGAUUCCUUACUUGAUCUGUUAUGGAGACCAGACUACAAGGUCUCCAACUGAGGAGAAGACAGUUCUGCUGUACUUUUCUCUCCAAGACUGACGAAAAGAUGUGGGGAUAGCUGAAAUUGUCCAAAAGGUGAAUGAAAGUCAAUGAGAAGCAGCACAACAACCUUUGUCAAAGUUUCGCAAAUGUAAGCGGGCCUGGCUACAGGGCACCUGCCAGGAGUCAGCCUUCUGAUUCCAGAUCCAGGCUGCAGUUCUGCAAUGUGCACCAUUUGGCAAGUAACCAGGUGAGAAUCUGUUCAUGACGAGGGCAUCGCUCUGGGCGUGAGGAAGAUCCUAGUGAGAAUAGCAGCUUUAGAAAGAAAAGCUUCCACGAUGAUGAUACCCAAGGCGUGGGUGACGGUGCAGAGGCGGAAAGUUCAGAUGUCGAAGUAAGCAGGGACUCUCAGAGCCUCCGAAAUUCCUGGGAAUGAAAGGAAAAAUUCAUUUUGCUCUAAGAUAGAGACCAUAUCAAGGACUUAACUUUUAUCACUCCAUAAGAUGCUGAGUUGUGUAUAAAAACUGGAUUUUUUUGUUCUUCUUGGAUGAAAAGGUAAAAGAAUAAUUGAAUCUCUUCCAGCACCUUCAGAAGUCAAGCCAACAAAGCUAGCUGACAAAUACACUAGGUCUCGUGUAAAUAAAUACAUGCCGUCCUGCAAAUCUUGAUUGAUGUCUAGAUAAUACACAAUAAUAUUCACUGUAACAUUUUAUUACCAUAUGUAGCAUUUUCAUAAACUUCAAACUUAUUAAAGCAAUUUCAAAGAGUUUUGGGUUUUGAUGGUAACUUCUAAGUGACUCCUGUGUUACUGAGGGGCCAAUCAAUGUUGGGUCUCCUUCUUUGAUGAUAUUCUGGGGCAGAAGGAAUAGUGAAAUGGAAGUAUUAUUUCAAAAUUUAACGAGGGGAUUCUAAAUUUUAAAUACAUGAUACUGUAUGUCAGACUCUUAGGAGUACAACAGGAAAACAGCAACAAUGUAAGUUAUAGAUCCUUAAUGCUCAGAACGGUACCAGGCACACUGUGGCCACUCUCUUACUAGAUUAAUGAAUGAAGUGUGAAUAUGUCACAGUGAAAUUUAUUCACAUGUCUUCUUUGCUAAGCCCUACACUCUGUGUCUUAUAAAUCUUUAUAUCUUCAAUACCUUACUCAGUGCCUGGCACAUAGUAGGUGUUUGUGAAAUAUUUGA